Molecule: long non-coding RNA, 464 nt
Organism: Physeter macrocephalus (sperm whale)
Lineage: Eukaryota; Metazoa; Chordata; Mammalia; Artiodactyla; Physeteridae
Exons: 3
Source: RefSeq, a predicted model, not a curated record
GUUCCAAGUUUGAUUCUAAUCAACUCCUUCUUCAUGAGAUGCUAACUAACUUCUGAUCCAAACCCUGGAGUCUGGAGCCAUGUGUGGACUGGUUUCUGUCUGGAUCACUCAGCCAUCCAAGAAAGGGUCACUGUGGCAAAAUAAACAUCGGAUUGCUCUGAUUGCCUUGGAACAAUCAGGGCUCACCCCUAGAGCUGGAGAGAGGAUGACAAAACUCAAAUCACAUUGCAGCUACACAAUAAAGGAAGGACGGGAUGGACGCUGCGGUGGCCAACACAAUCUCCACUAUAACUCGGUUAUAGCCAUCAUUUCACAGCAUCUGGGUCACUGAGGUGGAUCGUAUGAGAGAGGAAGACUGGGUCUGAGAAAAUUGAACACAACGCCUGGAAGACUGCAUCAGAAGUGGUGACUUGUACCAAGUUCCUAGCUGAUUAAACCCCUCGAUAAGAUUGGAGCAAAGAUGA